UACAUUAGAGGUUUUUCGGGGGUGGGUAGAGGGGCUCGUGCGUCAUGAUUCCUGAACCCUGACAGACUGAGCAUGGCUUACACAUUGCAUGCUUUUUCUCACUUUAGUCUCGCGAGUGCUAAUUCCUGUUUCGGGUUUAAUUUAUUUAUUUAUUUUUAUAGGUUUUCAUUGAUGAAGAAAUUGCAGUCUGAGAAUGUCUACGAAUUGUGCGUGAGUUUGCGUGGAUAUGCGUGAUACACUAGAAAAGUCUACACUAGAAAAGCGGACUGGAUUUUGUGCCGGAGUCACAGUCAGACAUUUCACACAAACUGUGCGCUUGUUUCUCGGUCAACAUGAUAACUGAUUAAAACACAAACCGAGACGUUUUCCUUCGCUCGAACACUGUAAGCUCACCUCUCGGCAGAGGUGAGAUGACCGAGGUGCAGCCGGUGUUGGACUUUGCCUCGUCAGGAAGGUCUGGACGACGCAAUGCUCUGCCUGACAUUUUAGGCUCACCAGCAGGGGUUAACCCAUCUGACCUCCCCCUGAAAUUGACUGAACUGUCUCUCACAGCAGAUGGGUCAGGAGGAGUUCAGUCACCAACGUCAGAGGAGGCCUGUCUGCCUGCAGAGAGCUCUGAGAGAAAGGACGAAUCCUAA
Molecule: long non-coding RNA, 638 nt
Organism: Ictalurus punctatus (channel catfish)
Lineage: Eukaryota; Metazoa; Chordata; Actinopteri; Siluriformes; Ictaluridae
Exons: 3
Source: RefSeq, a predicted model, not a curated record